Long non-coding RNA from Rhipicephalus sanguineus (brown dog tick), 611 nucleotides. RefSeq lists it as uncharacterized. The record is from RefSeq and is a predicted model, not a curated record. NCBI's taxonomy places the organism in Eukaryota, Metazoa, Arthropoda, Arachnida, Ixodida, Ixodidae. The transcript has 3 exons.
UCCGAUCGCAACGUCUGCGUUGGUUCUCGGGUGUCGGAUCGUCAAAAGGAGCUUCUGCUGGCUUUUGUGAAAGAGCACCCACAGAUCGCGACGCUGUCGUGCCCGCUGGAGCUGUCGUUCACGAGGGAGGACCGGGACGACAUGUGGCAGGAGCUAGUAGCGCUUUUGAACGAAGAAGUCCCUGUGCGUAACACCAGGGCCCAGUGGCAGGCCCGGUGGAGGAAUGAGCGCUACUAUUCGCAGCAGGGUCUUGCCAAACUCCGAGGGCAGCAGAGGUGAGUGCGAGAACAAUUGUAUUGUGGUCGGUCAUCUUACACGUCCCGCUUGUGCUUUACAGCGGCACCCGAGGCGGCCAGAUUUCGGAUUACCGCGGCCGCGUCGUGUUUGACAGGGACGAGUGUGCGAGGCCCAUAGUUCGGGUGGUCUGAAUCGGUGAGCCCUGCUCCAGCUGCUACUGGUGUGGCUGAAGAGGAUGUGGCCCAGGAUCUUCCCCGUGCCCCAACUCCUCAUGCCGCAGCUGCGAGAUGGGGGCAACCGGCAGGCCGAGGCGCUGGAGUUACUAGCCGCAAACACCAGGCGGCAGGGCCAGGCAUCAUUGGAAAGCUGCGCCA